Molecule: ribosomal RNA, 463 nt
Filed under: uncultured bacterium
Lineage: Bacteria
Description: bacterial SSU rRNA
Rfam family: Bacterial small subunit ribosomal RNA
Source: RNAcentral
GAUGAACGCUGGCGGCGUGCUUAACACAUGCAAGUCGAACGGGAAAUAUUUCAUUGAGACUUCGGUGGAUUUGAUCUAUUUCUAGUGGCGGACGGGUGAGUAACGCGUGGGUAACCUGCCUUAUACAGGGGGAUAACAGUCAGAAAUGGCUGCUAAUGCCGCAUAAGCGCACAGAGCUGCAUGACUCAGUGUGAAAAACUCCGGUGGUAUAAGAUGGACCCGCGUUGGAUUAGCUAGUUGGUGGGGUAACGGCCUACCAAGGCGACGAUCCAUAGCCGGCCUGAGAGGGUGAACGGCCACAUUGGGACUGAGACACGGCCCAGACUCCUACGGGAGGCAGCAGUGGGGAAUAUUGCACAAUGGGGGAAACCCUGAUGCAGCGACGCCGCGUGAAGGAAGAAGUAUCUCGGUAUGUAAACUUCUAUCAGCAGGGAAGAUAGUGACGGUACCUGACUAAGAAGCC